GCGAACGGGUGAGUAACACGUGGGUAACCUGCCCAUCAGAAGGGGAUAACACUUGGAAACAGGUGCUAAUACCGUAUAACACUAUUUUCCGCAUGGAAGAAAGUUGAAAGGCGCUUUUGCGUCACUGAUGGAUGGACCCGCGGUGCAUUAGCUAGUUGGUGAGGUAACGGCUCACCAAGGCCACGAUGCAUAGCCGACCUGAGAGGGUGAUCGGCCACACUGGGACUGAGACACGGCCCAGACUCCUACGGGAGGCAGCAGUAGGGAAUCUUCGGCAAUGGACGAAAGUCUGACCGAGCAACGCCGCGUGAGUGAAGAAGGUUUUCGGAUCGUAAAACUCUGUUGUUAGAGAAGAACAAGGAUGAGAGUAGAACGUUCAUCCCUUGACGGUAUCUAACCAGAAAGCCACGGCUAACUACGUGCCAGCAGCCGCGGUAAUACGUAGGUGGCAAGCGUUGUCCGGAUUUAUUGGGCGUAAAGCGAGCGCAGGCGGUUUCUUAAGUCUGAUGUGAAAGCCCCCGGCUCAACCGGGGAGGGUCAUUGGAAACUGGGAGACUUGAGUGCAGAAGAGGAGAGUGGAAUUCCAUGUGUAGCGGUGAAAUGCGUAGAUAUAUGGAGGAACACCAGUGGCGAAGGCGGCUCUCUGGUCUGUAACUGACGCUGAGGCUCGAAAGCGUGGGGAGCGAACAGGAUUAGAUACCCUGGUAGUCCACGCCGUAAACGAUGAGUGCUAAGUGUUGGAGGGUUUCCGCCCUUCAGUGCUGCAGCAAACGCAUUAAGCACUCCGCCUGGGGAGUACGACCGCAAGGUUGAAACUCAAAGGAAUUGACGGGGGCCCGCACAAGCGGUGGAGCAUGUGGUUUAAUUCGAAGCAACGCGAAGAACCUUACCAGGUCUUGACAUCCUUUGACCACUCUAGAGAUAGAGCUUCCCCUUCGGGGGCAAAGUGACAGGUGGUGCAUGGUUGUCGUCAGCUCGUGUCGUGAGAUGUUGGGUUAAGUCCCGCAACGAGCGCAACCCUUAUUGUUAGUUGCCAUCAUUUAGUUGGGCACUCUAGCGAGACUGCCGGUGACAAACCGGAGGAAGGUGGGGAUGACGUCAAAUCAUCAUGCCCCUUAUGACCUGGGCUACACACGUGCUACAAUGGGAAGUACAACGAGUUGCGAAGUCGCGAGGCUAAGCUAAUCUCUUAAAGCUUCUCUCAGUUCGGAUUGUAGGCUGCAACUCGCCUACAUGAAGCCGGAAUCGCUAGUAAUCGCG
RNAcentral lists this ribosomal RNA (1260 nucleotides) under Enterococcus casseliflavus. RNAcentral describes it as "bacterial SSU rRNA". It matches the Rfam family "Bacterial small subunit ribosomal RNA", at positions 98 to 1346 of the family's 1533-position model. Lineage: Bacteria; Bacillati; Bacillota; Bacilli; Lactobacillales; Enterococcaceae. The record is from RNAcentral.